GAGUCGGUUAGUCAUCGACACCAUCCAAGCUUUGGGCACUGACUACUGGAACCAAAUCAAACAAAUUGCCACUCAAUUGUUGUUCGCUGGUCAACAAAUCUGGCAACAAGCUACAGUCGUUUUCCAACAAUUGGUCACUGAUUUGCAAAACCACGCCACUGAUGCUUUGCCAUUAGUUGUCCAAGCCAUUGGUCAAUUGACUUCUUUGGUCGGUCAGUCAGGCAAAAGAGAUUUGGUCGACUUUGCUUUGAACUCCUUGGGUUUAAGUCAAGUCAUCGACACCAUCCAAGCUUUGGGCACUGACUACUGGAACCAAAUCAAACAAAUUGCCACUCAAUUGUUGUUCGCUGGUCAACAAAUCUGGCAACAAGCUACAGUCGUUUUCCAACAAUUGGUCACUGAUUUGCAAAACCAC
RNAcentral lists this small RNA (415 nucleotides) under Spisula solidissima (Atlantic surf clam). Lineage: Eukaryota; Metazoa; Mollusca; Bivalvia; Venerida; Mactridae. The record is from RNAcentral.